This 236-nucleotide long non-coding RNA is filed under the name Hordeum vulgare. Its description in RNAcentral is "long non-coding RNA (HVUL_LNC010677)". The record is from RNAcentral. Lineage: Eukaryota; Viridiplantae; Streptophyta; Magnoliopsida; Poales; Poaceae.
ACUUCAACGCUAUUCAAGAUAACCCUCAAGUUGGUCCUUCUCAAAGCAUUGUUCAAGUAUACAAGCCAAAGGACGAUAUCAUCCUCGAUGAAGACAUGCUUGUGGAUUACACCCGAGGUGUUUUUGGAGACCUCAGUUAAUCUCCAUAAAAAGUUGAUGUCACUUAGCUAUUUAAUACUACAAGAUGUUAUAUAUUGUAUAACAAUAAAUAGAAUAAAGUCUUUCAGACUAUGUAU